This 2195-nucleotide long non-coding RNA is filed under the name Lynx pardinus (Iberian lynx). The record is from RNAcentral. Lineage: Eukaryota; Metazoa; Chordata; Mammalia; Carnivora; Felidae.
CUCUCUUGGGAUGCUCACCCAGGGGCAUCUAUGGCUGAGUAACAAAUCACCCCAGAUUGAUCCACUUAAAAUAGUGCCCGUUAAGAAUCUCACAGUUCUGGAGGUCAAAAGUAGGGGUGGGCUCAGCUGGGUUCUCUGCUUAGGACCUCGCAAGGCUGAAAGCAAGGUCUUGGCUGGGCUGGGCUCUUAUCUGGGGCUUGGGAUCCUCUUUCGGGCUCACUCGGUUCUUGGCAGGAUCCAGUUUCUUGCGUUCGUAGGACCGAGGUCCCCAUGUUCUUGCUGGCUCUCGGCUGGGGGUCACUCUUGGCCCCUGGGGCUGCUCCUGGGUCCUUUCCACAUAACCCCCUCCAACUUUAAACCAGCAAUGCCACAUCAUCCUUUUCAUGCUUCAAAUCUGACUUCUACCAGCCAGCGAAAACUCUCUGCUUUUCAAGGGCUUAUGUGAGUAGAUGAAGCACCACCCCCCCAUCACCUCUUUGAUGAUCUCAAAAUCAACUCAUCUGCAAAUCUAAUUACAUCUGCAAAUCCCUUUUGGCAUAUCACAUAUUGUCACACGUGUUGAAUCUCAUCACCUUCACGGUCCCAGGGAUUAGGGUGGAAAUUGGUGGGGGCGGGGAGGGGGCUUAGAAUUCUACCUCCCACAAGCCAAGACCGCAUGUUGUGAGCAAGUCCAAGCCAUGCAGUGAAGCCCCCUGGAGGUGUCCAGCUAUAUAUAGCCCCCCAAAGGUCUCAGCCAGCAGCCCGCAUCAACCGUCAAAGUUGUGAGUGGAUGCGCCUCCAGACGGCCUCAAACCACCCCAGCCAGUGCACAUCAUGCAGCAGACACAGGCCAUCCCCAAACUCCUACUCCUGAGUUGUUUUAUGCCGGUUGGUGUUGGAGUGAUUUGUGCCUGGAAUAUCUUCCUUUCUUCCCCACUGCUCUCCAGCUCCCCUUCCUUCCCUCUUUUGCUCUCCUGGUCCUUCCAGCAUUAUGUAUUCAACCCCCCUUAUUGAACCCCUGUUGAAAUACCUAGGUUGCUUUUCUUUUCCUGGCUGACCCCUGCUCAUCUAUCCCCCGAUUCUUCUUUGCUAACGGAACCCUAGUUUGUGCAGAAUCUGGGGGCAGCCAUGUACCUAAUGAGGGGGCUGGGGGCCCUGUCAACCUCAGAGACUGAAUCUUGAUUAGACAAAGGCAACUGGGAUUGCCAUCACCUUGACAGGGAUUGGCUGGCUCCGUUCUGGACAACGGACACGGGGAAAGUCUGCCAGGGGACGGGGUUUCUGGGAAGACAAGAACGGAGGCCACCUCUUCCAGCUUUGGAUAUGGUUGCAUGAGGGCAUGAUGCUGCAGCUACAGCCAUCAUCGUGCGGACACCCACAUACUGAGGGCGGCAGGGCAGCAGGAUGGGUCUUCAGUGGCUCCUCUGACCUGUGGAAUGAAUGACCCCUGGGUACCCCUACCUCCAUUCUCUCUGUUCAGUUGUGUAUUAGGUAUUCCUUAGUGCUCCUUCCUCGGGGCCUCCGCCCCUACAGCUCCCUCUGCCUGGGGUGCCCCCAUCCACACCCCACACAUCCGCAUGGCCCUCUGCUCAGAUGUCGCCUUCCUGAGACCUCUCAAAAAACAAACAAACAAACAAACAAAACCACACCCCUUCUACAGCCCUCCCAUUUCUCUUCCCUGCACUGUGUUUAUUAUCUGUCUCUGCCACUGAAACAUAAACCCUCCUGAGAGCAGAGAGCUUUCCUUACUAUGCACCCUCAGUGUCUAGAACUGGGCUUGAUGUGUAUCGCCUGUGAUCAGUAAAUAUUUGUCCAAUUCAUGCCAUGCGAAUGUUUUGAGUUCUUUUCGUUGGACUUUGUAUUACGUUCAGCCAAAAGCAAAUGGUUCCUGCCCGCCCCUCCCCCGCAUCUUCACCUCACAGCUGAAUCCUUUGGGUCCAAUGCUUGCUCUAAAAUGACACUCACGGGGCACCUGGGGGGGCUCAGUCAGUUAAGCCUCCCACUUCUGCUCAGGUCAUGACCUUGCAGUUCACAAGUUCAAGCCCCGAGUUGGACUCUGGGCUGACAGCCCAGAGCCUGGAGCCUGCUUUGGAUUCUGUGUCUCCUUCUCUCUCUGCUCCUCCUCUACUCACACUCUCUCUCUCAAAAAGAAAGAAACAUUAAAAAAGAAAGAAAUGCAGAUUCUCAGGUCCUACUCCAGAUUACAUUUAGAUAAG